GGAGGGGAGCAAGCUCCAUGCGUCAGUUCCCGCCAAAUUGUAGCUCUUUCGAGCGAGGACGUGCUGACUGAAACACUGCACAGAGACGGGCAAGCACUCAGAGGCAUUUCGUUUGCCUUGAUCCUGGAGGCGGCCUUCUCCCAUUGCCGAGGAUUUGAAGCGAACUCCUGGCAGAUCAGAAAUGUUCAGGCGAACGGCGGUUAUAUUUGUCUGUGGACCCAAGACUUCGCUGACGGGCAAAUAUGUCAGAUUUUCUUGUUUUUUAUUUGUGGCAUCUUAUUGUAAAGCCGUGACAUAUUUUGCCGUUUUCUCUAGGGAACCCUGCAACAAGGACUGUAGUGUGAAUAGCGUGCUGCGCUGCUCUCGCCAACUGAAAAGAACUCUGGUGUGCUGUAAAUGCCGACUGCACAAUAUGUGACUGGCCCGCGGCUGCUUUGAAGGUAAGAUUGUGUUCUCAUUAAUCUAUUUAUUGUACCAUUUGUUUUCCAGUGACAUAGCCAACAACGAAAACCUCGAUCCAUCCUCUCUCCACAUAUUAUCUAGUUUGUGCGCUGUGGAGCUUGAAGCACUUCUCGGAAUUUCAGCACACUCGCAUUUAUUUUUUUCCCGACAGAAGAAAAAUGCAAGUCUAACAUCUCGACGGUAAAACGUCGCAUCUGCGCACGUGUUCAGGGCCAAGAGCACGAGAAGUGGCCGAAAGAAGGGAGCCGAUCCAACAGGAAUGCCGUCCGUCUUUAUAUUUAUAUAUGUCAGCGUUAUCAUGCCGUGAUCACAUGGACUGUACGGUUGCGUUGCACAAGGGCUGAUGCAAACGCUCCGUGCGAACAAUGUUGCAUGGAAAAUUAGUGCAUCUAUACAAUUGCAAAAUAAAGA
This is a long non-coding RNA of Rhipicephalus sanguineus (brown dog tick), 873 nucleotides long. RefSeq lists it as uncharacterized. The transcript is spliced from 4 exons. The record is from RefSeq and is a predicted model, not a curated record. Lineage: Eukaryota; Metazoa; Arthropoda; Arachnida; Ixodida; Ixodidae.